Molecule: transfer RNA, 71 nt
Filed under: Danio rerio (zebrafish)
Lineage: Eukaryota; Metazoa; Chordata; Actinopteri; Cypriniformes; Danionidae
Rfam family: tRNA
About the family: Transfer RNA (tRNA) molecules are approximately 80 nucleotides in length. Their secondary structure includes four short double-helical elements and three loops (D, anti-codon, and T loops).
Source: Rfam by way of RNAcentral
GCAUUGGUGGUUCAGUGGUAGAAUUCUCUCCUGCCACGCUGGAGACCCGGGUCCGAUUCUCAGCCAAUGCA